This 215-nucleotide ribosomal RNA is filed under the name Campeiostachys nutans. RNAcentral describes it as "Elymus nutans partial small subunit ribosomal RNA". The stretch from base 37 to 215 matches the Rfam family "Eukaryotic small subunit ribosomal RNA", at positions 684 to 864 of the family's 1831-position model. The record is from RNAcentral. Lineage: Eukaryota; Viridiplantae; Streptophyta; Magnoliopsida; Poales; Poaceae.
GGACCAUCAUGUCGGUCGUGCCUCGGUACGUACUGGUAUUGUUGGUUUCUCCCUUCUGACGAACCAUGAUGUCAUUUAUUUGGUGUGGCGGGGAGCCAGGACUUUUACCUUGAAAAAAUUAGAGUGUUUAAAGCAGGCUCACGCUUGAAUACAUUAGCAUGGAAUAAUGAAAUAGGACGUUUGAUUCUAUUUUGUUGGUUUCUAGGAUCGAUGUA